Gorilla gorilla gorilla (western lowland gorilla) is the source of this 1997-nucleotide RNA transcript. It is a transcript of the gene named putative prolyl-tRNA synthetase associated domain-containing protein 1, with no coding region annotated. NCBI's taxonomy places the organism in Eukaryota, Metazoa, Chordata, Mammalia, Primates, Hominidae. The record is from RefSeq and is a predicted model, not a curated record. The transcript has 2 exons.
CCGUCAACAGAAGAUAUGGUGAUCUGGGAAACUUGAAGUGGGAUCAGGGAGGGCUGUGAGAUCGCAGGCGCCGCCCCGCAGCGAGGCGCCUGUUGAGAGCUCCCGCAGGCCUUCGCAAGCCGGAGCCCUCAGCGGACGACGUUCAGGGACUAGCGGGCGAGGCGCUCAGACACGGCGGACCCGCCUUCACCAGGCACCAGCACUACGCUGCCGGCGUCGGCCGAGAUCCCUCUGGGCAGUUCCGCCUCAGGCUUCGGUCUGCGCAGCCGCAGGAAGCCGUGCCGUUUUUCCGCCCAUCGCCACGAUAGCGGCUGCAUGGCGGGCGCGGAGUUGCGGGCGGCGCUCGAGCAGCGGCUCGGUGCCCUGGCCAUCCAUACUGAGGUCGUGGAGCACCCCGAGGUGAGGCCCCUAGAAGCGACCGCCGAGACAGGCCCAGCGGGGUGGGCUGUGCUGCACGUCCGUCGGGCGAGGCCGCUGAGAUCAGGUGUCCCAGGGUCAAUGUACCGUGAGAACGUCGCUCCUGGAAUAUUUCCCCGGUCUCAAAAUACGAAAGUGACCCUGCAGGGACAGCAGAGAACUUCCAUCUUGGGACCAUGAGGUUACUGCACGGAAAUCUUUACUCUUGGGAGUGAUUUGCUUACAUUCCGUGUUGAGAACCAGCACAACAUACGGAGGACUGUGCAUCUUAAAUGGGUCUGGGAUGCUGGGUCAGUUUGUCCACUUUUUGUGUAGAUAAAAUAAGCAAGUGGUUAAUAGUGUGUUCAGUAGGUACGACGUAUCAGGCACCAUACGUAGAGCAGGACACUGAGGUUCACAGUGAUAUUUUUCCACUGUGGUCAGGGUUGAUCACAAAGCAUGCAGCAUGGCAGAAACCACCACCACCCGUAAAGUGCUUACCAAAAUUGACAUGCCUGUAUUUUCAUAAAUUGUAACAUUUGUUGUGUUUUGAUGGAAAGUCUUACUUGCAUUUAUUUAUUUAUUUAUUUAUUUUAUUAAUUUAUUUAUUUAUUUAUUUGAGACAGAGUCUUUUUCUGUGGCCCAGGCUGGAGUGCAGUGGUGCGAUCUCGGCUCAAUGCAACCUCUGCCUCCUGGGUUCAAGCGAUUCUCCUGCCUUAGCCUCCCGAAUAUCUGGGACGACGAAUAUGUGGGACUACAAGCGCCCGCCACCACGCCUGGCUCAUUUUUGCGUUUUUAGUAGAGACGGGAUUUCGCCAUGUUGGCCUGGCUGGUCUCGAACUCCUGACCUCCAGGUGAUUCUCCCACCUGGGCUUCCCAAAGUGCUAGGAUUACAGGCGUGACCCAUCGCGCCCGACCACUUGCAAAUAUUUCACAGAGCCAAUGUGUAACUUGAGUGGUGCAAGGACAUGAAGUUUACCCAAGGCUUAACAGUUGAUAAUGGCUAAAUAUGGUGAUCUUCAAAGAGUAGAGAAAUAUAGUUAGUAUUCCUCACCUUCACAAAUACAACAUCAAAACCGUAAUCAUUUUCUGUGACCUCCCUCCCUCCCAUAUAGUCCUAUAUUCUCCCCCUUCUUUAUGUGUGCGUAUGCCAGCUUUUCUGAUGUUCUGUUAGUCUGGGUUCUUAUUGCCUCCCCACUCACCUUCUUUGUGGUUACAUAUUUGUAGAAUGGAGGUUGUCACAUGGUCUGGACGUAACGGAAUGCUAAAGAAUAGGAGUCUAGAACUGCUGUAAACUUUCAGUAACCAAAAGCUUAAAUUUAGAAAUAAAAAGCUGCUGAGGAGUGAGAUCUUGGCAAGUACAUUGGAAUACAAAACUGGCCGAAGAAACUGCCUGAGGUCCUGAGAUGAGGAAAUGAGAUGGCAUGGGCUUGUGGACAUGAAAAGGUGUACUUUCAUCCAAUGACCAAUGCUGCAACCAUGGGAUUGAGCCCUGAAGACUUUCUCACAUUUGUGAAGAUGACAGGACAUGAUCCCAUAAUACUAAAUUUUGAUAAAAACAACUAAUUGGGCCAAUGUUUAGAAUAAAUUUCUUUCUGAAA